This 925-nucleotide ribosomal RNA is filed under the name uncultured bacterium. RNAcentral's name for it is "bacterial SSU rRNA". It matches the Rfam family "Bacterial small subunit ribosomal RNA", at positions 10 to 925 of the family's 1533-position model. The record is from RNAcentral.
AGUUUGAUCCUGGCUCAGGAUGAACGCUAGCUACAGGCUUAACACAUGCAAGUCGAGGGGAAACGAUAUUGGAAGCUUGCUUCCGAUAGGCGUCGACCGGCGCACGGGUGAGUAACGCGUAUCCAACCUGCCCACCACUUGGGGAUAACCUUGCGAAAGUAAGACUAAUACCCAAUGAUAUCUCUAGAAGACAUCUGAAGGAGAUUAAAGAUUUAUCGGUGAUGGAUGGGGAUGCGUCUGAUUAGCUUGUUGGCGGGGUAACGGCCCACCAAGGCUACGAUCAGUAGGGGUUCUGAGAGGAAGGUCCCCCACAUUGGAACUGAGACACGGUCCAAACUCCUACGGGAGGCAGCAGUGAGGAAUAUUGGUCAAUGGGCGAGAGCCUGAACCAGCCAAGUAGCGUGCAGGAUGACGGCCCUAUGGGUUGUAAACUGCUUUUAUAAGGGAAUAAAGUGAGUCUCGUGAGGCUUUUUGCAUGUACCUUAUGAAUAAGGACCGGCUAAUUCCGUGCCAGCAGCCGCGGUAAUACGGAAGGUCCGGGCGUUAUCCGGAUUUAUUGGGUUUAAAGGGAGCGUAGGCCGGAGAUUAAGCGUGUUGUGAAAUGUAGAUGCUCAACAUCUGCACUGCAGCGCGAACUGGUUUCCUUGAGUACGCACAAAGUGGGCGGAAUUCGUGGUGUAGCGGUGAAAUGCUUAGAUAUCACGAAGAACUCCGAUUGCGAAGGCAGCUCACUGGAGCGCAACUGACGCUGAAGCUCGAAAGUGCGGGUAUCGAACAGGAUUAGAUACCCUGGUAGUCCGCACGGUAAACGAUGGAUGCCCGCUGUUGGUCUGAAUAGGUCAGCGGCCAAGCGAAAGCAUUAAGCAUCCCACCUGGGGAGUACGCCGGCAACGGUGAAACUCAAAGGAAUUGACGGAAGGGCAGU